UACGGAGGGGGCUAGCGUUGUUCGGAAUUACUGGGCGUAAAGCGCACGUAGGCGGCUUUGCAAGUUAGAGGUGAAAGCCCGGGGCUCAACUCCGGAAUUGCCUUUAAAACUGCAUCGCUAGAAUUGUGGAGAGGUAAGUGGAAUUCCGAGUGUAGAGGUGAAAUUCGUAGAUAUUCGGAAGAACACCAGUGGCGAAGGCGACUUACUGGACACAUAUUGACGCUGAGUGAGCGAAAGCCAGGGGAGCAAACGGG
This 254-nucleotide ribosomal RNA is filed under the name uncultured bacterium. RNAcentral describes it as "partial 16S ribosomal RNA". It matches the Rfam family "Bacterial small subunit ribosomal RNA", at positions 524 to 776 of the family's 1533-position model. The record is from RNAcentral.